UACGAAGGGGGCUAGCGUUGCUCGGAAUGACUGGGCGUAAAGGGCGCGUAGGCGGCUUACAUAGUUAGGCGUGAAAUUCCUGGGCUCAACCUGGGGACUGCGUCUAAUACAUGUAGGCUUGAGUGUGAAAGAGGGUCGUGGAAUUUCCAGUGUAGAGGUGAAAUUCGUAGAUAUUGGAAAGAACACCGGUGGCGAAGGCGGCGACCUGGUCCUUGACUGACGCUGAGGCGCGAAAGCGUGGGGAGCAAACAGG
Molecule: ribosomal RNA, 253 nt
Filed under: uncultured bacterium
Lineage: Bacteria
Description: partial 16S ribosomal RNA
Rfam family: Bacterial small subunit ribosomal RNA
Source: RNAcentral